This 68-nucleotide transfer RNA is filed under the name Aonyx cinereus (Asian small-clawed otter). RNAcentral's name for it is "tRNA-Thr". It matches the Rfam family "tRNA". Rfam says of the family: Transfer RNA (tRNA) molecules are approximately 80 nucleotides in length. Their secondary structure includes four short double-helical elements and three loops (D, anti-codon, and T loops). The record is from RNAcentral. Lineage: Eukaryota; Metazoa; Chordata; Mammalia; Carnivora; Mustelidae.
GUCUUUGUAGUAUACUGAUUACUUUGGUCUUGUAAACCAAGAAUGGAGGAUCCCGUCUCCCUAAGACU